GAGAAAGGCGGUUACUGGUUGAUAAGGAGGCAUUGAGAACUGCCUGCCUGCCACGUUUGAUUUUGAAAUCUCAGGCUCUUCGAAGCUUCUAUAAGGGGACAAGUAGUCACAAUGCUAUAGCUUGUAGCGGAUUGCAAAGAUGCUUGUAAAACACUCAAAGCCUAUUAAAAAUUCCCAGCAGAUCUCUUCUCCCAGAUCCUUCGCCACUCCCCACCAAUGAGCCGGUAUACAUUCAAGGGAAACAAAGAAGCAAUUCUAAAGCACAAAGGAGCUGCCCAACUAUUCCAGGAGUUUCCCCAGGCAGGGGAAAUGUGCGUCCUGACAUGCUUGGCUGGAACUGAUUGGGAACCAGACUGUGUUCACUGAGCAAGUUGAGAAAGAUUUGCCUCAAGCUUCGGCACAUUAUGAUGUCAUCUUUUGGCAUUUUAAAUAUUCAAGUGUGUAUCCUGAAAAGCCUCUUGCUUUCAUUUCUUGUUUAGGUUGAAUAAAAUAGGCCUGCUUCCAGCUUGUGCUAAUUUAAACUCUUAAGGCGAGCUUAGUUGCUCAGUCGUGCCCGACUCUUUGGAACCCUUUGGACUGUAGCAAGCCAGGUUCCUCUGUCCAUGGGAUUUUUAGGGAAAGAAUACUGGAGUGGGUUGCUAUUUCCUUUCUCCAGGGGAUCUUCCUGACCCAGAGAUCGAACCCACGUCUCCUGUGUCUCCUGUGAUUGCAGGCAGAUUCUUUACCUGCUGAGCCACUGGGGAAACCCAAAGCUCUUAAGGAGCCGGGUCUUAUCUAACCCAUUUGAGAAAAACAGUUCUGGUCUGACGGCAAGAAAGAACUGAAGUGGAAGACUGCACACUGGGUUCUGGGUCACUGCCUCGUGUGACCAGAAACGACCCAGGGACACGUUCCAGCCUCAUUUCCUCGCCGGCAUUGAAGCUGAACCCACUGCCAGCCGUAAGACCUGACCGGACCUCUCCUCUCCUUUGGAACUAAGCAGGCUGGGCUGAUAUGUGACACCAUAGAGCUGAGGAGACUAAAACUUUGAGAAGUAUGAUCCAAUGUACUCCAGCUGGAAAGUGACAGGGCCCUGAACUGGUAGAUGCCAGGACUGUCUCUUCCAAGAGCACAGAGGAUGGUUAAACCUGAUACCACAGUCU
Bos taurus (domestic cattle) is the source of this 1142-nucleotide long non-coding RNA. The record is from Ensembl. NCBI's taxonomy places the organism in Eukaryota, Metazoa, Chordata, Mammalia, Artiodactyla, Bovidae.